RNAcentral lists this long non-coding RNA (239 nucleotides) under Elaeis guineensis (African oil palm). Its description in RNAcentral is "long non-coding RNA (EGUI_LNC045245)". The record is from RNAcentral. Lineage: Eukaryota; Viridiplantae; Streptophyta; Magnoliopsida; Arecales; Arecaceae.
CUUUCUAUGAAAUAAAAGAUCUGCUUUUAAUUUAUUUAUAUUUCUCUUAUUUGAAAUCAUAUUUAGAAUAAUCUAUACUCUUAAAAUGAGCCGUGAUCUACGGAUACGGUUCAUAUCGUUGGGGUAAAUUAUUUUUAAAUACGAUUUCUUCUCACUUUGUAUGCAUCUCAUCUUGACUAGCUUAUACUCCAGAAAAAUAAAUCAUGAUCCAACAAAUACAAGUUGUGCUUUCACCAGAC